RNAcentral lists this ribosomal RNA (453 nucleotides) under Triticum aestivum (bread wheat). RNAcentral describes it as "partial small subunit ribosomal RNA". Lineage: Eukaryota; Viridiplantae; Streptophyta; Magnoliopsida; Poales; Poaceae. The record is from RNAcentral.
AUGGUUAUUUCCCUAGUAGGGACGCGUUCUGAUGUAAUUGCUUCCAAAUUCUUUCUUUUCCCAGGAAUUGUAGCUCAAAUUCUAAGUGUCAUGGUCACUGAGGGUGUGAUCGACAAAGAAAAGUUUGAUUCUUUCUAUGUGCCCGUGCAUGGACCUUCCGGCGAAGAGGUGAGGGAAAUCAUUGAAGAAGAGGGCUCCUUUUCCAUCAGGGAGAUGCGGGUGCACGACCCUACGACCGAAAUGAACACUGCUCUGAGCACCCCAAGGAAGUUCGUCAAUAAUCUGAGAGCCUUAUUCGAGCCGAUAAUAGUCCAGCAUUUUGGAGACAUUAUGGAUGAAUUUGUGAGGACUGCGGAGCUGCACUGGAGCCUGGAUCCGGAUGGGAGCUUGCAAGAGGAGCGGGCCAGAACCUCUCGAGCUAUGCUGGUUGUAUCCCUCGCAAAGGUGUCAUGA